GACGAACGCUGGCGGCGUGCUUAACACAUGCAAGUCGAACGGAAAGGCCCUGCUUUUGUGGGGUGCUCGAGUGGCGAACGGGUGAGUAACACGUGAGUAACCUGCCCUUGACUUUGGGAUAACUUCAGGAAACUGGGGCUAAUACCGGAUAGGAGCUCCUGCUGCAUGGUGGGGGUUGGAAAGUUUCGGCGGUUGGGGAUGGACUCGCGGCUUAUCAGCUUGUUGGUGGGGUAGUGGCUUACCAAGGCUUUGACGGGUAGCCGGCCUGAGAGGGUGACCGGCCACAUGGGGACUGAGAUACGGCCCGGACUCCUACGGGGGGAAGCGGUGGGGAAUAUUGCACAAGGGGCGGAGGCCUGAGGCAGCAACGCCGCGUGCGGAUGACGGCCUUCGGGUUGUAAACCGCUUUCGCCUGUGACGAAGCGUGAGUGACGGUAAUGGGUAAAGAAGCACCGGCUAACUACGUG
RNAcentral lists this ribosomal RNA (467 nucleotides) under uncultured bacterium. RNAcentral describes it as "partial 16S ribosomal RNA". It matches the Rfam family "Bacterial small subunit ribosomal RNA", at positions 28 to 507 of the family's 1533-position model. The record is from RNAcentral.